RNAcentral lists this long non-coding RNA (239 nucleotides) under Nicotiana benthamiana. RNAcentral describes it as "long non-coding RNA (NBEN_LNC024528)". Lineage: Eukaryota; Viridiplantae; Streptophyta; Magnoliopsida; Solanales; Solanaceae. The record is from RNAcentral.
GAUACAACGGUGUUCGUUCUUUAUUAUUUACUUAUCGCACUUAUUUCAUUCUUGCAAUUUUUAAAUUACGCAAGUUUACGCUAUUUUUUAUUAUAACGCUAUUCACCCCCCCCCUAGCGUUAAGCGCAUUUUCUAACAAUUGGUAUCAGAGCCUAACUCUCUAAAAGCCUUAACCUGUUGAGAGAAAUAUAUAUUUUUUCUGUUGAGAAUAUUGAACGCAGGAACGAUGGAUGAAGGAC